GGCUGAGCGGCGAGCUGCGCUUGCGUGCGCAGAGCUGGGGGCCCCCGGCCAGGCGCAGGGUUCGCGCGCGCCCGGCUCUGCGUGCGGGCUGCGGGAGGCGCGUGGGCGCGCGGGUGGGCUCGUCGCCGGCUGCCAGCCCGGGUCGGGGCCGGGUGCGAGGGCGCUAGCAAAUCAUUGAAAGCAUGGGAUAAGGAAAACAGCAAAAUUCUUCAGUCUGUUUUAGUCUCAUCUGAAAAUCUACAGAAAUUUCCAGCAUUAUUUUUGUCUAGAACAUUUUAUGGAAUGAUCAGUUGGUAAAAUUGAAAUUCUUUCACUCAGAAGAACAAAAUCAAG
This is a long non-coding RNA of Suncus etruscus (white-toothed pygmy shrew), 333 nucleotides long. RefSeq lists it as uncharacterized. The transcript has 3 exons. The record is from RefSeq and is a predicted model, not a curated record. Lineage: Eukaryota; Metazoa; Chordata; Mammalia; Eulipotyphla; Soricidae.